UGCAUCCAGUUUUUGAGUAUCCUGCUGGGGCAAAGGAUAUCUUGACUCAACUGUUACAAAUGUCUCAAGGUAAGAGGCCAGCUGCUGACUAUGCUAUAGAGUUCAGGACACUAGCAGCUCAAAGCAGAUGGAACAAUUGUUGAGACUAUUUCACUCAAACGGCUCUUUACCAGGAAGGAUCAACUCAAGCGAAAUAAAACACAUGACAAGUUCUUUGGAUUUUUGCUUGCAAGGACUGCGCUGUUGGUUGCUAGCGGGAGAAAAAACAGGUUUCUCUCUUUUGCCUCCGAAGCUCAGAUCACAAGUUGCUUUAUUUUUAUAGAGGAAAGGACAGGACAAGAUAAGUAAAAGCAAAUGGCAAACAAGUGUUUCAAACACGUUCGUCGUAUAAGUUAUCACUAGCUACAUAUCUUUUCGUGCAUCAGAAUCUUCAUUCCUUCAGUUUCUCUGGCACCUACACCAGUCCAAGAUAUUAUAUGGAGGUCAUGUCAUGACCUAGAACAAGAAGUGCUUUAACAGAUAGAAGCUGAAACUGAAGGGUCAAAGGUGCAUAAUGUCAAGACACAACUCCAACAACGAUGUUGCCCUGAAAGCUAUAUUUUUUUUCAAAAGUUUCAAAAAUAUCUCAGGAACUUCAAACCGAACUGGCCUGCAGAGGAGAGGAAUUCCCUUUUCCGAAUUUGUCACAUUGACCAUCAAGAUCGAUAAUCUCCUGAGGCAAACACUCAAAACUAGAACCACAAAACUUGACCAGUGUCCAACAUCUACCCAUAUCCAAGGCUCAAGAUUAUGAACCCAUGCAGUUAGGGGUUUCAAGACUAUCUAAGGGUGAAAGAGAGAGACGAGUUAACCACCUAUGCUUCUAUUACGGUGCUGCAGGACAUCGAAGCCUCAGAUGCCCACAUAAGAACCCUGCACCCCAGCAAUGAUAGAUUCUGGAGCUGCUUUGAACCUGAUCGACAGCAGCAUCAUAACCAAAUUCAACAUACCCACUAAACUGCAUAAUCCUCCCAGAUGAAUCACGUGCAUCAAUGACAUUUUCAUUGGUAAAGGAAUCACUGAACAGACACAAACCUUAACCCUUCAGGUGGGCCUAUUUCAUAAAGAAUCUAUAUCUCUAUGCCUGGAAACUUCGUGAAUUACUGAAUUGAUCAUGUCUGUCUCCACCAAUGUUUACUUCCCAAACCCCUACCAUGUCUAACUACCAGUAUAAAAAGUCCAGAGACCCAUCAAUCAGUCAACAUCCCCUCCUGUUAGUACAAUUUUCUAGAAGUGUUUAGCAAAGUCAAAGCUACAAAACUUCCCCCUCAUCGACCCGUAGAUUGUGCAAUUGAAUUGCUCCCCAAUGCCAUGCUCGGUAUGCGAUGAAUGGAAGACUGCUUUUCUCACCACUAUGAGUACCAGGUGAUACCGUGUGGGCUAGCCAACUCCCCAGUUGUCUUCCAGUCUUUUAUUAAUGAAAUUUUUAAGGACAUUCUGAACCAGUUUGUUAUUGCGUAUAUGGAUCAUAUCUUGAUUUUCUCCAAAUCCAGAGCAGAACACAUCAACCACGUGAGAACAGUGUUGUCACAAUGUUUCACGUAACUCAAACAUCCUUUCUAGGAUAUUAUAUCAGCCACCAAGGAGUUAAGAUAGAUUAACUCAAGGUAAUGGCAAUAACUGAAUGGCCACAACCUACCACGGUGAAAGAACUCCAACGAUUCUUAGGCUUUGUAAAUUUCUAUUGAUGGUUUAUCCGCACCUACAGUCUACAGCAGCCCCACUUAGAAAACCUACCAAGCUAAGAUGGACUCAAGAAGCUAACUAAGCUUUUACUUCUCUCAAGGAGAGAUUCACAUCAGUUCCCAUUCCUAAAACAUCCUGAUCCCAAAUCACCAUUCCUCAUGGAAGUCGGUGCGUCGGACUGUGGCAUCGGAGCUGUCCUCUCUUAAAGAACCGAACAAUCCGGUAAACUUCAUCCAUGCACUUUCUUUUCCAGAAAACUGACCCCUGUGGAGAGGAACUCCUAUCCAUGAAGGCAGCAAUUAAAGAGUGGCGACACUGGCUCGAAGGUACUAAACACCUGAAUCCCUGCCAAGCCCGAUGGGCACUGUUUUUCACCAGGUUUCAGUUCACCGCCACGUAUCGUCCAAACAGUAAAAAUGGCAAAGCUGAUGCCCUGUCGAGGUGCCAUGAUCGGCAAUCAGAUCCCCUCAACCCAGAACCUAUCCUCCUACCGUCCAUUAUUCUUGCCCUUGUCACCUGGGACAUUAUGGAGGAAUUACAGAGGGCACAACAACAGGAACCACCACCAAUGCCCCCCAAACAAACAGUACGGUUCUUCAAACCUAAGGCAACUCAUAAUGCAAUGUGUCCACACCUCCCUCAAUGCUGGACACCCUGGUAUUUCUCGAACCAUCCAGCUCGUCCAAAACUCCUUUUGGCGGCCCGAGAUGAUACAACACAUCACAUCAUUCGUGAAGUCAUGUUCAGUCUGCGCUCAAUCCAAAUCCCCAAAAGAAUUAUUCUCUGGUCUCUUCCAAACACUAUCCAUCCCAGAAUGACCCUGGUCUCACCUCUCCAUCGACUUGCACCUUUCCAAUAACUACAUCCAAGUCCUGCUGUCUGAUGCCUUUAAAUGGACUACUUACUGCCAUGGAAACAGCCUUAGCCCUCUUCCAUAAUGUUUUCAGAGUUUACGGUUUACCUGAGGAUAUAGACUGUGGUACCCAAUUCAAGUCACAAGUCUGGCGAGCCUUUUGUAAACAGCUAGAUAUUAAUGUCAGCCUCACUUUGGGUUAUCAUCCCCAAUCUAAUGGUCAAGUAGAACACCUAAAUCAAGAGAUUGGCCAAUAUCUGUGAACAUAUUGCAGCUGGGAGCAACACUGACGGUCUAAGUUUCUACCAUGGGCCGAAUAUGCACAGACCUCACUAACCAACUGCUCUAUAGGCCUCACCCCCUUUCAAUGCGUCCUGGGGUUCCAACCCCCCAUGUUCCUGUGGUCAGGAGAACCCUCAUCUGUACCUGCAGUGGAUGAUUGGAUGCGAUGUAGCGAGAGGGUGUGAGAUAGCGUGCAUGUUCGUCUCCAGUGGGCCAUCCGAAACCAGGAAACAACAGGUCGGGCUCUCCACCAGGGACAUCAAGCUGCGGCUACCAAGAAGGAAGCUCAGCCCCAGAUGCUGACCCCAUGAGGCUCCAGAACCACCCCCACCACUGGACAUUGAUGGGGCUCCCGCAUACCAGGUAAAGGAAUUACUAGACUCUAGGCGAAGAGGGGGUCAGCUCCAAUAUCUUGUGGACUGGGAGGGAUACGGACCUAAGGAGAAAUCCUGGGUAGCCGUCCGGGACAUUUUUGACCCUUCACUCACCGAGGAAUUCCACAGAGCUAGACCCGAUCAACGACCACGGGGACCAUCACGUUGAAUUCCAGGAGUCGCUCCUAGAGGGGGAAUUCUGUAAUGCCUAACCAGCAGAGGGAGCCCUCGCCUGAGUACUAGCCAUGCUCAGGCUCCUCUGCUUCUUCUCUGCUCACUUACUGUUUAAGGGCUUUAUAACCAGAAGUCCUCCACGCAUUCAAAUGUGAAGUAUUGCCAGUCUUAUUGUUACAAUCUGAUUGUUACUUUUGUGUAUGACCUUUGCCUGUUUGCCUGAUUUUCGGAUUCUGUUUGCCUGUCGUGUUUGCCUGUUUGGAUUGAUAACCUGUUACCGACUCAUUGCCUUCCUACUGACCCUGUAACUCAGACUCUCCUUGGACCUGUCUGCUGUUUGGACUGGCUGUCUAGUAUUGACCCUUACACUGUCUGUUCAUUGAUGUCUCUUGUCUUGCCCACUAAUAAUCGUCAGAAAAUGGAUUCUACUAUGUCGCCUGUGUUCUCGUUACAAGUACGUUACCAUGCCAGUCCCUCCAAGAGUUCAAAUGACCUUUUUAUGAACCUUUUAUAUGUCAAAUGUAAAGAGGAAUAUUUAGCAUCUUUAUUAAGUCAUUGGUAAUGCACAUAUAUUCUACUGUAGUUUAUUUGUCAUGCCACUGUGUGCAUUUGUGUAACUUGGAAUCAUAAAAUUCAAAAUUCUACAUCAUUCACACAGUGGCUUUUGUGUUUAACAUUACAUGUGAAUGAUUUCAAUUUGCAUCUGCCUCAAGCAAAUUCACACAGCACCCAUCUGAAUAAGUUUCAUUCUGAAUACUGUGUUUGGAAUAAUUAUAGUAAAUGAUUACGGUGAAGAGUUAAUUGUUAAGAGCACUUGCAUUAACCGUUUUUAGUCAAAUUCUCACUGAAAAGUUGGCUUAGGGAGUUCUUCUAGAUUUGGGAGGAUAACUCUUGUACAUUUGCAGCAACUUGAGGGCUGAGAAAAAAACCCAAAAGUUAUUAUUCAUAAUUAUUAAUAGUGUUUUCUAAAUCAGCAUCACAAAGAUGAAGAUUAUCCUUAUUAUCCUUAUUUGAUUCCUAUUGGACACCUUUAGAGAAAAAUGCAUCUUUAAGGAUUACAUAUAGUAAAAUAGUUUCUGUUUGAAACAAAAUUGCAAUGUUUAAACAAAUGUUUAAAACAAAUGCAAGUGAUGCGCUUGCACCUCCAUGUAAAGCAUGGUUUAGCUUACACUCUCCAGACAUGUGCCUAAAAGCGUACAUUUAUUUAGGUUAAAAGUUUAAACUAGCAUUGUGAUUUUUUUAAAUUGUUUUAUAUCUAUAGAUUUUAUUUUAAGAAGGCUACAUUGAAUAAACAUGAUAAACGGUCUGCUUGGUCAUUACUAUACUAUAUAUAACUUUCCAAGCAAAAAAAAGUUUCAAACAUAUUUCUAAAUUACGGUCACCAUCGCCGUCGUGGGAGAAGGAUCCCUCGCUUCAUCGUCUAGCCUUUGAGUCCUGGACUCCACAUCGGCCUGUAGACUCGUCGGCUCCUCCUUGGCUCCUAGCUCCCUCCUCUCCACUGUGGCCCAUCAGUCCACCAGCUCCACCAAGCUCCAUCAUCCCUCCGGCUCCGCCUUGGUUUGUCGUCGACCAUCCGUCACCUCGGGAUUCCUCUCCUCUGGCAUCACCUUGUCCCUUCAUCCCUCUGGCUCUGUCAGGCUCCUCCAUCCCUCCGGCUCCACCUCAAUCCUCUGUCGCUCUGGCUCCGCAACGUCCUUCUCGUCCCCCGUCUCCGCAUAGGUCCUCUAGUGUCUCAGUGUCACCCUGGCCCUUCAGCUCUCCGUCUCUACCUCAGUCUCCUCCACCACCUGCUCCGCCACACCGUCGGUUGGUCCCAUGGAGUCGACAGUCAUUCCUCCUCCAUGGCUCCUCCCUCCGUCUGGAUCUCCUCCUGCUCCGGACUCCUUCUGUCACAC
Long non-coding RNA from Puntigrus tetrazona (Sumatra barb), 5303 nucleotides. RefSeq lists it as uncharacterized. The record is from RefSeq and is a predicted model, not a curated record. Lineage: Eukaryota; Metazoa; Chordata; Actinopteri; Cypriniformes; Cyprinidae. The transcript has 3 exons.